CCCGUCACAUCAUGAAAGCCGGUUGUACCCGAAGUCCGCAAGCAAACUCGCAAGAGCGGGGGGCAGCGGCCGAAGGUAUGGCUGGUGAUUGGGAUG
This 96-nucleotide ribosomal RNA is filed under the name uncultured bacterium. RNAcentral's name for it is "partial 16S ribosomal RNA". The record is from RNAcentral.